CAGUAGCCGCGGUAAUACGUAGGGUGCGAGCGUUAAUCGGAAUUACUGGGCGUAAAGCGGGCGCAGACGGUUACUUAAGCAGGAUGUGAAAUCCCCGGGCUCAACCUGGGAACUGCGUUCUGAACUGGGUGACUAGAGUGUGUCAGAGGGAGGUAGAAUUCCACAUGUAGCAGUGAAAUGCGUAGAGAUGUGGAGGAAUACCGAUGGCGAAGGCAGCCUCCUGGGAUAACACUGACGUUCAUGCCCGAAAGCGUGGGUAGCAAACAGGAUUAGAUACCCCGGUAGUCCCUGUCUCUUAUAC
This 301-nucleotide ribosomal RNA is filed under the name uncultured bacterium. RNAcentral describes it as "partial 16S ribosomal RNA". It matches the Rfam family "Bacterial small subunit ribosomal RNA", at positions 509 to 807 of the family's 1533-position model. The record is from RNAcentral.